This 253-nucleotide ribosomal RNA is filed under the name uncultured bacterium. Its description in RNAcentral is "partial 16S ribosomal RNA". It matches the Rfam family "Bacterial small subunit ribosomal RNA", at positions 524 to 776 of the family's 1533-position model. The record is from RNAcentral.
UACGUAGGCAGCGAGCGUUGUUCGGAAUUACUGGGCGUAAAGCGCACGUAGGCGGCUUUGUAAGUUAGAGGUGAAAGCCCGGGGCUCAACUCCGGAAUUGCCUUUAAGACUGCAUCGCUAGAAUUGUGGAGAGGUAAGUGGAAUUCCGAGUGUAGAGGUGAAAUUCGUAGAUAUUCGGAAGAACACCAGUGGCGAAGGCGACUUACUGGACACAUAUUGACGCUGAGGUGCGAAAGCGUGGGGAGCAAACAGG